AUGGCCUCUCCCUUCCUCCCCUCAUUGCUUCUCUCCAGCGCCGCCGCCCUCGACCCGCCUCGUCGUCGCCUUGGCCUGGAGCCCGCACCUGGAGCUCCAUCGGAUCGCACAGCCGCCGACCAUAGUCGCCCUGCGCCCACGUCCCCGCUGCCAACUCUCCUCACCGAAGGAGCACUGGGAGGAGUGGAACACCACCGUCGUCGCCUCGUUCCCUGCUUCCCCCUGGUCUUCAUCGCGAGGUCCAGCAAGUCCGGUGCCUCCCCAAGUCCAGCGACCGUCCCGGUCACCUCCGGCUGCCAGGACUCUCCAGCAAGCCGCCGUUGCCUCUGCUUCACGAAACCACGCUGCGGCGCCCCAGUCACCUGCGACCUCGGGUCGUCUCUGCUUCGUCCUCGUCUCACGCCAUGCCUCUCCGCGUACGUGUUCACUGCGCCGCCGUCGCAGCGCCUCCCCAAGUUCUGCCCCUGCCUCGUUCGGCUACCACGACCGCACCGCCUCGCUGCUGCUCUGCUCGACGCGCCCUUCUUCCUUGCCUUUCCCCGCGCCAAAGCAAGCCGCAACCACCGAACCAGGAAACGCCAAGGACAUCUUCGGGGUUUUCGUCAAGUCCUGUUCUGUAGAACGUACACGCAACACCGACGUCCACGAGUACCUCCUACUAGCCGUCCACACCGACCACAUCAAGCCAGCAAGUCCGAAGACCCCAAUGUACCCGUGGACGUCAAGUACCUCUGCCGAAGACUCCCGCCAAAGACACGUGUACGACUACUACAUGAACAAGCACCACGACGACCCUCGAAGAGUUCGGAUUCGUCAAGUUCAUCUACGUGCCUCUACGACUACACAUCCGGGAUGCGUCGAGUAACUCUACGAAAGAGCCGAAGGUCUACGAACCGUGUGCGACGACCAUUGCUGAAGACCGUCGAGUGA
RNAcentral lists this ribosomal RNA (930 nucleotides) under Triticum aestivum (bread wheat). RNAcentral describes it as "partial small subunit ribosomal RNA". Lineage: Eukaryota; Viridiplantae; Streptophyta; Magnoliopsida; Poales; Poaceae. The record is from RNAcentral.